GGUCGAGUGGGUGAAUGAUAGGAAACUGC
This 29-nucleotide non-coding RNA is filed under the name Homo sapiens (human). The record is from RNAcentral. Lineage: Eukaryota; Metazoa; Chordata; Mammalia; Primates; Hominidae.